GACGGAGGGUGCAAGCGUUGUUCGGAAUCACUGGGCGUAAAGCGCGUGUAGGCGGUUUGAUAAGUCGAAUGUGAAAGCCCGAGGCUCAACCUCGGAAGUGCAUUCGAAACUGACAGGCUUGAGUACGGGAGAUGGAAGUGGAAUUCCUGGUGUAGAGGUGAAAUUCGUAGAUAUCAGGAGGAACACCGGUGGCGAAGGCGGCUUCCUGGCCCGAUACUGACGCUGAGACGCGGUAGCGUGGGGAGCAAUCAGG
RNAcentral lists this ribosomal RNA (253 nucleotides) under uncultured bacterium. Its description in RNAcentral is "partial 16S ribosomal RNA". It matches the Rfam family "Bacterial small subunit ribosomal RNA", at positions 524 to 776 of the family's 1533-position model. The record is from RNAcentral.